GGGUCAGUAGGUUGGUCGUGCCACCGGUACGUACUGGUCUCACUGAUUCCUCCUUCCUGAAGAACCGUAAUGACAUUAAUUUGGUGUUGCGGGGAAACAGGACUGUUACUUUGAAUAAAUUAGAGUGUUUAAAGCAAGCUAACGCUCGAAUACAUUAGCAUGGGAUAAUGAAAUAGGACGAUCGAUCCUAUUUUGUUGGUUUCUAGGAUUGACGUA
This 216-nucleotide ribosomal RNA is filed under the name Glomeromycotina sp. RNAcentral describes it as "partial small subunit ribosomal RNA". The stretch from base 40 to 216 matches the Rfam family "Eukaryotic small subunit ribosomal RNA", at positions 686 to 864 of the family's 1831-position model. The record is from RNAcentral. Lineage: Eukaryota; Fungi; Glomeromycota.